RNAcentral lists this ribosomal RNA (505 nucleotides) under uncultured bacterium. Its description in RNAcentral is "partial 16S ribosomal RNA". It matches the Rfam family "Bacterial small subunit ribosomal RNA", at positions 28 to 507 of the family's 1533-position model. The record is from RNAcentral.
GACGAACGCUGGCGGCGUGCCUAAUACAUGCAAGUCGAACGCACAGUUUAUACCGUAGCUUGCUACACCAUAGACUGUGAGUUGCGAACGGGUGAGUAACGCGUAGGUAACCUGCCUGGUAGCGGGGGAUAACUAUUGGAAACGUUAGCUAAUACCGCAUAAUAUUAAUUAUUGCAUGAUAAUUAAUUGAAAGGUGCAAUUGCACCACUACCAGAUGGACCUGCGUUGUAUUAGCUAGUAGGUGAGGUAACGGCUCACCUAGGCGACGAUACAUAGCCGACCUGAGAGGGUGAUCGGCCACACUGGGACUGAGACACGGCCCAGACUCCUACGGGAGGCAGCAGUAGGGAAUCUUCGGCAAUGGACGAAAGUCUGACCGAGCAACGCCGCGGGAGUGAAGAAGGGUUUCGGAUCGUAAAGCUCUGUUGUAAGAGAAGAACGGGUGUGAGAGUGGAAAGUUCACACUGUGACGGUAUCUUACCAGAAAGGGACGGCUAACUACGUG